This 521-nucleotide long non-coding RNA is filed under the name Ananas comosus (pineapple). Its description in RNAcentral is "long non-coding RNA (ACOM_LNC004865)". Lineage: Eukaryota; Viridiplantae; Streptophyta; Magnoliopsida; Poales; Bromeliaceae. The record is from RNAcentral.
AAAAAAUGCAUAAAUAUCAUCUCAAUUAUUACCCGUUUAGAUUUAACUAUUUAACCUUUAAAAUUUUUUAUUUCACUAUCUAAUCUUUUAAUUUAUUUGAUUUGAGCCAAGUAGUGACUCUUUUACUUCAAAAUUGGAAUGUGUUUUAGUUAAUAUUUUAUGUAAUUUACGUAACUCUAAUUCAUUAAAAUAAGUAAUUAUUUCAAAUGGCAUAUCCGAAAAGCCAUCAAAUUAUUUAAAUCAAAUAAACUGAAAGAUUGGAUACUAAAAUCAAAAUUUUAAACAUUUGGAUAAUCGGAUUAAAUAAUGGUCUAUAUUUCAAAUUUCAUAAAAAACUAAUAUUUUAAUUUUCAAAAUUUUUUAUUCGAAAACAAAAACUACUUUUCAUCAUAAACUUUGUUUCUAAAAAAAUACUUUUUUAUAUUUUUUCAAAGAUACCAAAAACCCCCUUAUUCAAAAUAAUAAUAAUAAUAAUAGUAAUAAUAAUAAUAAUAAUAAUAAGAUUACCACUUUAAUUUAUA